RNAcentral lists this ribosomal RNA (501 nucleotides) under uncultured bacterium. RNAcentral's name for it is "partial 16S ribosomal RNA". It matches the Rfam family "Bacterial small subunit ribosomal RNA", at positions 30 to 523 of the family's 1533-position model. The record is from RNAcentral.
AUUGAACGCUGGCGGCAGGCUUAACACAUGCAAGUCGAGCGGGGGAAGGUAGCUUGCUACCGGACCUAGCGGCGGACGGGUGAGUAAUGCUUAGGAAUCUGCCUAUUAGUGGGGGACAACAUCUCGAAAGGGAGGCUAAUACCGCAUACGUCCUACGGGAGAAAGCAGGGGAUCUUCGGACCUUGCGCUAAUAGAUGAGCCCAAGUCGGAUUAGCUAGUUGGUGGGGUAAAGGCCUACCAAGGCGACGAUCUGUAGCGGGUCUGAGAGGAUGAUCCGCCACACUGGGACUGAGACACGGCCCAGACUCCUACGGGAGGCAGCAGUGGGGAAUAUUGGACAAUGGGGGGAACCCUGAUCCAGCCAUGCCGCGUGUGUGAAGAAGGCCUUAUGGUUGUAAAGCACUUUAAGCGAGGAGGAGGCUACUUUAGUUAAUACCUAGAGAUAGUGGACGUUACUCGCAGAAUAAGCACCGGCUAACUCUGUGCCAGCAGCCGCAGUAA